AUGUGCAUUUAACAUUAGCACAUAUGUUGUGGAGACUGAAGAACAAUGGGAUGUCAUCAAUACCUCUGAUAUGGUAGUCAGAACUGAAGUUAUCUUAUCAUAUGCAGGAUAUCUAUCCUUCAUUGACUUAACUUCUGUCAAAGUAGACACUACCCACUCUUGGUCAUGUAUAGGAGCAGACCAUAUUGGCCCUCCUAUAGUAAAUUUCUUCCCACAGGCACUGCACUCUUGAGGAACAACAGGCCCAAUGGCAGGCGCAUUCUUCACACUGUUGUUCUUCAUUAUGGUCCUACCAAGACACUGAAGAUGAAAUGAAUCGCAACCAACACAUUGAUAUACAUAAGAAAGCUUUUGAGGAGUCUUCUUUACUUCGAACUCACGUAAAUACUCGGACAAAAACACGGAUGUAGAAAUCCAUAGACACAGAGAGAACAGGCACAAUAUAUCUUAACUGAGUGAUAUAGGUACCUCAAUACUGGCAAGGAGGAUUCGCAAAGCCAUUUCAUGGUUAUACUUCCCUUUGUAGUAAUGUCCAUACUUGGAGUGGCAAACUUCACCAUUUGGCCCACAUAGAACCGCCAUAUCAGUGGCAGUGCACAUUAAUAGCCCACCAUCAGCAACAGCCUGUACAGCCGAAUCAAGGAAAAUAGAAGGUGCUCCAUAGGGAAAGGCUUACCACAUCAAACUCUUUUGGAUGUGUGAGCAUAUAAACUCGAGCAUCAGUCAAAUGAGGCUCGAUCUUACUCAUAGCAGAAGCACCAUUAAACUUUAUAUUCCGCUUGCAAGCUUCAAUACAAGCUUUAUCAAUGUCCAGAGCGACCACCUUUUCUAACACGUCUAUUUCACGAGCAUAACGGAUAGAUCUCAACCCAGAAGCAGCCAAAGCCUGCAUUUAAACAACUGGUGCCUUAAGCUCUCUGGCUACUUUCCGCGAAGGUGUCUUUGUUGCUUCUGUUGACAGAUCUUCUGUUUCAUCCGCAACUUUAUUUGUUUCCUUUUCAGCAUCAACAUCCAUUUCAUCAUGCUGUCCUGUUGACCCAUUCUCUCCAUUUGGACCAGAUGAUUUACUCUGGCUCACUUUGUUAUGCGCCUUGUCCCUCUUAUCCAUCAUUGCCUUAUGUUCUUCCUCACGCUUGGCAAUGAAAGUCCUUAAAAGAGCAACUGACAUAUCUCUAUUGUGGACCUGCACGGGAUUGUAGAACACUUCAUUUGCUGCUAUUUUCUUGUUGAUGAUGAUCUCCGCCUCGCCUUCCCUCACAAUCUCAUAGUCCUUUAGCUUGUUCUCCACAUCCUCCAUCUCUCCGAAUCCAAUCCAAUCCA
This 1320-nucleotide small RNA is filed under the name Oryza sativa Japonica Group (Japanese rice). Its description in RNAcentral is "sRNA Os03g0786751". Lineage: Eukaryota; Viridiplantae; Streptophyta; Magnoliopsida; Poales; Poaceae. The record is from RNAcentral.